UGGGAUGCGAAUCUCGAAAGCCUGUCUCAGUUCGGAUUGGAGGCUGAAACCCGCCUCCAUGAAGUUGGAUUCGCUAGUAAUCGCGCAUCAGCCACGGCGCGGUGAAUACGUUCCCGGGCCUUGUACACACCGCCCGUCAAGCCAUGGGAGCCGGGGGUGCCUGAAAUUCGUGACCGCAAGGAGCGACCUAGGGCAAAACUGGUGACUGGGGCUAAGUCGUAACAAGGUAAC
This 231-nucleotide ribosomal RNA is filed under the name uncultured bacterium. RNAcentral describes it as "partial 16S ribosomal RNA". It matches the Rfam family "Bacterial small subunit ribosomal RNA", at positions 1261 to 1500 of the family's 1533-position model. The record is from RNAcentral.